ACGAACGCUGGCGGCGUGCUUAACACAUGCAAGUCGAACGGAAAGGCCCUGCUUGCCGGGUACUCGAGUGGCGAACGGGUGAGUAACACGUGGGUGAUCUGCCCUGCACUUCGGGAUAAGCCUGGGAAACUGGGUCUAAUACCGGAUAGGAGCCAUUUUUAGUGUGAUGGUUGGAAAGUUUUUUCGGUGUAGGAUGAGCUCGCGGCCUAUCAGCUUGUUGGUGGGGUAAUGGCCUACCAAGGCGGCGACGGGUAGCCGGCCUGGGAGGGUGGACGGCCACAUUGGGACUGAGAUACGGCCCAGACUCCUACGGGAGGCAGCAGUGGGGAAUAUUGCACAAUGGGCGCAAGCCUGAUGCAGCGACGCCGCGUGGGGGAUGACGGCCUUCGGGUUGUAAACUCCUUUCGCUAGGGACGAAGCUUUUUGUGACGGUACCUAGAUAAGAAGCACCGGCUAACUACGUG
This 464-nucleotide ribosomal RNA is filed under the name uncultured bacterium. RNAcentral describes it as "partial 16S ribosomal RNA". It matches the Rfam family "Bacterial small subunit ribosomal RNA", at positions 29 to 507 of the family's 1533-position model. The record is from RNAcentral.